Molecule: transfer RNA, 85 nt
Filed under: Felis catus (domestic cat)
Lineage: Eukaryota; Metazoa; Chordata; Mammalia; Carnivora; Felidae
Rfam family: tRNA
About the family: Transfer RNA (tRNA) molecules are approximately 80 nucleotides in length. Their secondary structure includes four short double-helical elements and three loops (D, anti-codon, and T loops).
Source: Rfam by way of RNAcentral
GCCUGGGUGGCUCAGUCAGUUAAGUGUCUGACUUCAGCUCAGAUCAUGAUCUCUUGGUUCGUGGGUUCAAGCCCCGCAUCAGGCU